GUUUAUUUGGUAGCUAUAAAUAAUCUGGCCUGCCCCCUGAUUAAUUAAUUAAAGGGCCGCAGUAUUAUAACUGUGCAAAGGUAGCAUAAUCAUUAGGUUUUUAAUUGGAAUCUUGUAUGAAUGGUUGGACAAAAGAGACACUCUCUUUAUAAUUAAUUUUGAAUUUAACUUUUAAGUGAAAAGGCUUAAAUAUUCUAAAGGGACGAUAAGACCCUAUAAAACUUUACAUUGUAAUUAAAUUUGAACUAAAUUUAAAAUAUAAAUAUUUAAUUUAAUUAUUUGUUAUGUUGGGGAGACAUAGGUAAAAUAUUAUUUUAACUGCAUAAUAAAAAUACAAUUAUAAAUGAACUGUAAAAGAUCCUUUUUAAAGAUUAAUAGAUUAAGUUACUUUAGGGAUAACAGCGUAAUUUCUUUUGAGAGUUCUUAUCGAAAGAGAAGGUUGCGACCUCGAUGUUGAAUUAAAAUACCUAUAUAAUGGAGGAGUUAUAUAAGUAGGUCUGUUCGACCUUUAAAAUUUUACAUGAUUUGAGUUCAAACCGGUGUGAG
This 546-nucleotide ribosomal RNA is filed under the name Esanpotamon namsom. RNAcentral's name for it is "partial 16S rRNA". It matches the Rfam family "Bacterial large subunit ribosomal RNA", at positions 1819 to 2625 of the family's 2925-position model. The record is from RNAcentral. Lineage: Eukaryota; Metazoa; Arthropoda; Malacostraca; Decapoda; Potamidae.